RNAcentral lists this ribosomal RNA (253 nucleotides) under uncultured bacterium. RNAcentral describes it as "partial 16S ribosomal RNA". It matches the Rfam family "Bacterial small subunit ribosomal RNA", at positions 524 to 776 of the family's 1533-position model. The record is from RNAcentral.
UACGAAGGGGGCUAGCGUUGUUCGGAUUUACUGGGCGUAAAGCGCACGUAGGCGGAUCGUUAAGUCGGGGGUGAAAUCCUGGAGCUCAACUCCAGAACUGCCUUCGAUACUGGCGAUCUCGAGUCCGGAAGAGGUGAGUGCAACUCCUAGUGUAGAGGUGGAAUUCGUAGAUAUUAGGAAGAACACCAGUGGCGAAGGCGGCUCACUGGUCCGGUACUGACGCUGAGGUGCGAAAGCGUGGGGAGCAAACAGG